GACGAACGCUGGCGGCGUGCUUAACACAUGCAAGUCGAACGGAAAGGCCCUGCUUUUGUGGGGUGCUCGAGUGGCGAACGGGUGAGUAACACGUGAGUAACCUGCCCUUGACUUUGGGAUAACUUCAGGAAACUGGGGCUAAUACCGGAUAGGAGCUCCUGCUGCAUGGUGGGGGUUGGAAAGUUUCGGCGGUUGGGGAUGGACUCGCGGCUUAUCAGCUUGUUGGUGGGGUAGUGGCUUACCAAGGCUUUGACGGGUAGCCGGCCUGAGAGGGUGACCGGCCACAAUGCGACUGGAAUACGGCCCAGACUCCUACGGGAGGCAGCAGUGGGGAGUAUUGCACAGUGGGCGGAGGCCUGAUGCAGCAACGCCACGUGGCGGAUGACGGGCUGCGGGUUGUAAACCGCUUUUGCCUGUCACGAAGCGUGAGUGACGGUAAUCGGUGAAGAAGCACCGGCUAACUACGUG
RNAcentral lists this ribosomal RNA (468 nucleotides) under uncultured bacterium. RNAcentral's name for it is "partial 16S ribosomal RNA". It matches the Rfam family "Bacterial small subunit ribosomal RNA", at positions 28 to 507 of the family's 1533-position model. The record is from RNAcentral.